Molecule: ribosomal RNA, 428 nt
Filed under: uncultured bacterium
Lineage: Bacteria
Description: bacterial SSU rRNA
Rfam family: Bacterial small subunit ribosomal RNA
Source: RNAcentral
UGGGGAAUUUUCCGCAAUGGGCGAAAGCCUGACGGAGUGACGCCGCGUGGGGGACGAAGGCCUUCGGGUUGUAAACCCCUGUCAGAGGGAAAGAAGGGUCGCCUGGCUAAUAUCCAGGUGAUCUGACGGUACCUUCAGAGGAAGCCCCGGCCAACUCUGUGCCAGCAGCCGCGGUAAGACAGAGGGGGCAAGCGUUGCUCGGAAUCACUGGGCGUAAAGGGCGCGUAGGCGGGAUGGCAAGUCAGUCGUGAAAUCUCUCGGCUCAACCGAGAAACGUCGGCUGAUACUGCCGUUCUUGAGGGAUGCAGAGGAGACUGGAAUUCCCGGUGUAGCGGUGAAAUGUGUAGAGAUCGGGAGGAACACCGGUGGCGAAGGCGGGUCUCUGGGCAUUUCCUGACGCUGAGGCGCGAAAGCGUGGGGAGCAAACG